Molecule: transfer RNA, 59 nt
Filed under: Cyamus boopis
Lineage: Eukaryota; Metazoa; Arthropoda; Malacostraca; Amphipoda; Cyamidae
Description: tRNA-Tyr
Source: RNAcentral
GGUUAUAGGGUGUUAACACGUUAAGUUGUAAACUUAAAGAUACUAAAAAGUUGUAACCA